Molecule: long non-coding RNA, 275 nt
Organism: Esox lucius (northern pike)
Lineage: Eukaryota; Metazoa; Chordata; Actinopteri; Esociformes; Esocidae
Exons: 4
Source: RefSeq, a predicted model, not a curated record
UAAAGGCACUGUGGAGUUGUUUCUUGUUGAUGCUGCUGAGAAUGCUAAUAAUGGGAGCUGUGAAUGUGGUCUGGGGUCAUUGUACUGAUUGUUGAGAAUGUGGAAGUGUCUUGUUUCCCUUUUGGUGAGUCUCAGAAGUUUGAUGGAGUCUCUCUGAAGGGAUUUCAAGGACAUUCAGAUUUAGCAGGUAUGCGGUAGCAGGUAUGGGAUUGCCCUUAGCCAGUAAAUUUGGACAAUGGAGGAUCUAAAGGAUCAUCUGCCACUGCUACAUCUGU